Molecule: ribosomal RNA, 254 nt
Filed under: uncultured bacterium
Lineage: Bacteria
Description: partial 16S ribosomal RNA
Rfam family: Bacterial small subunit ribosomal RNA
Source: RNAcentral
UACAGAGGGGGCAAGCGUUGUUCGGAAUUACUGGGCGUAAAGCGUGCGCAGGCGGUCUGUUAAGACCGAUGUGAAAUCCCCGGGCUUAACCUGGGAACUGCAUUGGUGACUGGCAGGCUUUGAGUGUGGCAGAGGGAGGUAGAAUUCCACGUGUAGCAGUGAAAUGCGUAGAGAUGUGGAGGAAUACCGAUGGCGAAGGCAGCCUCCUGGGCCAACACUGACGCUCAUGCACGAAAGCGUGGGGAGCAAACAGG